AGCUCCAAUAGCGUAUAUUAAAGUUGUUGCAGUUAAAAAGCUCGUAGUUGAACUUCAGAUCUGGUUGGGCGGUCUGCCUCGCGGUAUGUACUGUCUGACUGGAUCUUACCUCUUGGUGAGCCGGCAUGCCCUUCACUGGGUGUGUCGAGGAACCAGGACUUUUACCUUGAGAAAAUCAGAGUGUUCAAAGCAGGCCUAUGCCUGAAUGCAUUAGCAGGGAAUAAUAAAAUAGGACGUGUGGUUCUAUUUUGUUGGUUUCUAGAGCUACCGUAAUGAUUAAUAGGGACAGUUGGGGGCAUUAGUAUUCAGCUGCUAGAGGUGAAAUUCUUGGAUUUGCUGAAGACUAACUACUGCGAAAGCAUUUGCCAAGGAUGUUUUCAUUA
RNAcentral lists this ribosomal RNA (383 nucleotides) under Rogersella sp. RNAcentral's name for it is "partial small subunit ribosomal RNA". It matches the Rfam family "Eukaryotic small subunit ribosomal RNA", at positions 587 to 975 of the family's 1831-position model. The record is from RNAcentral. Lineage: Eukaryota; Fungi; Basidiomycota; Agaricomycetes; Hymenochaetales; Schizoporaceae.